RNAcentral lists this ribosomal RNA (777 nucleotides) under uncultured Neocallimastigales. RNAcentral describes it as "partial large subunit ribosomal RNA". It matches the Rfam family "Eukaryotic large subunit ribosomal RNA", at positions 22 to 645 of the family's 3401-position model. The record is from RNAcentral. Lineage: Eukaryota; Fungi; Neocallimastigomycota; Neocallimastigomycetes; Neocallimastigales.
AUAUCAGUCAUGCAUAGUAUAUCAAUAAGCGGAGGAAAAGAAACUAACAAGGAUUCCCCUAGUAACGGCGAGUGAAGCGGGAAGAGCUCAAAUUUGAAAUCUUAAAGGGUUUUCCCUUUACGAAUUGUAGUUUAAAGAAGUGUUUUCUGUUGGAGUUUCGGUAAAAGUUCUUUGGAAUAGGUCAUCAUAGAGGGUGAGAAUCCCGUAUUUGACCGUUACUUUCCAGCUGUGUGAUACACUUUCAACGAGUCGGAUCGUUUGGGAAUGCAGUCCAAAAUGGGUGGUAAAUUUCAUCUAAAGCUAAAUAUUGGCGAGAGACCGAUAGCGAACAAGUACCGUGAGGGAAAGAUGAAAAGAACUUUGAAAAGAGAGUUAAACAGUACGUGAAAUUGUCAAAAGGGAAGCGUUUGACACCAGUGUUGUUUUUCCGAAAAUCAAUUACGAAUGUUUUGUUUUUAAGAAGUUAUGACUUCAUCGGCUUGCUUCUCUUCUUUACGAAACUUUCUUAAUGCACUUUUCGGUUAACAAGUCAACAUCAAUUUCUUUUGUUGUAAAAGGGUAUGAGGAAGGUGGCUUUCUUUUCGGAGAAAGUGUUUAUAGCCUUGUGCCUCUGCAAUCGGAGAGAUUGAGGUCUGCAGCGUAGAUCCUUCGGGGUUAGAUACAUUUGUGCUAAGUUAUAGCUUUUCAUAGACAACUUGUUGACUAUGUUUAGUCUUGUAGCUUACUCGCUUAUGCUAUUUUACCUACGCUUAGGAUGUUGAUCUCUCACAGUCGAGC